RNAcentral lists this ribosomal RNA (206 nucleotides) under uncultured bacterium. RNAcentral describes it as "partial 16S ribosomal RNA". It matches the Rfam family "Bacterial small subunit ribosomal RNA", at positions 568 to 774 of the family's 1533-position model. The record is from RNAcentral.
CGCGUAGGCGGCCUGCUAAGUCGAACGUGAAAUCCCUGGGCUCAACCCAGGAACUGCGUCCGAUACUGGUUGGCUUGAAUCCGGGAGAGGGAUGUGGAAUUCCAGGUGUAGCGGUGAAAUGCGUAGAUAUCUGGAGGUACACCGGUGGCGAAGGCGACAUCCUGGACCGGCAUUGACGCUGAGGCGCGAAAGCCAGGGAGCAAACG